GCUCCAGUAGCUUAUCAUUAAAGCAUUGCCCUUGUAAGACAAAGCUGGGUCCACCCCUAGAGCA
RNAcentral lists this transfer RNA (64 nucleotides) under Pantherophis slowinskii (Slowinski's corn snake). RNAcentral's name for it is "tRNA-Thr". It matches the Rfam family "tRNA". From Rfam's summary of the family: Transfer RNA (tRNA) molecules are approximately 80 nucleotides in length. Their secondary structure includes four short double-helical elements and three loops (D, anti-codon, and T loops). Further hydrogen bonds mediate the characteristic L-shaped molecular structure. tRNAs have two regions of fundamental functional importance: the anti-codon, which is responsible for specific mRNA codon recognition, and the 3' end, to which the tRNAs corresponding amino acid is attached (by aminoacyl-tRNA synthetases). tRNAs cope with the degeneracy of the genetic code in two manners: having more than one tRNA (with a specific anti-codon) for a particular amino acid; and 'wobble' base-pairing, i.e. permitting non-standard base-pairing at the 3rd anti-codon position. The record is from RNAcentral. Lineage: Eukaryota; Metazoa; Chordata; Lepidosauria; Squamata; Colubridae.